RNAcentral lists this ribosomal RNA (497 nucleotides) under uncultured bacterium. Its description in RNAcentral is "partial 16S ribosomal RNA". It matches the Rfam family "Bacterial small subunit ribosomal RNA", at positions 28 to 507 of the family's 1533-position model. The record is from RNAcentral.
GACGAACGCUGGCGGCGUGCCUAAUACAUGCAAGUCGAGCGCUGAAGGUUGGUACUUGUACCGACUGGAUGAGCAGCGAACGGGUGAGUAACGCGUGGGGAAUCUGCCUUUGAGCGGGGGACAACAUUUGGAAACGAAUGCUAAUACCGCAUAAAAACUUUAAACACAAGUUUUAAGUUUGAAAGAUGCGAUUGCAUCACUCAAAGAUGAUCCCGCGUGGUAUUAGCUAGUUGGUGAGGUAAAGGCUCACCAAGGCGAUGAUACAUAGCCGACCUGAGAGGGUGAUGGGCCACAUUGGGAAUGGGAAACGGCCCAAACUCCUACGGGCGACAGCAGUAGGGAAUCUUCAGCAAUGGACGAAAGUCUGACCGAGCAAGGACGCGUGAGUGAAGAAGGUUUUCGGCUCGUAAAACUCUGUUGGUAGAGAAGAACGUUGGUGAGAGUGGAAAGCUCAUCAAGUGACGGUAACUACCCAGAAAGGGACGGCUAACUACGUG